CCAAUUCCAGAUUUUGAACUGGUCCUAUAUAUUCUAGCAGGUUUGAAUGUGGAAUAUGAUCCAUUCGUUACCUCUAUUGCUACCAAAACUGACCCCAUCUCUCUGGGUGAUCUUUAUGGUCAUUUGCUUUCUCAUGAGC
Alnus glutinosa is the source of this 139-nucleotide small nucleolar RNA. RefSeq annotates it as small nucleolar RNA Z247. The record is from RefSeq and is a predicted model, not a curated record. The transcript has a single exon. NCBI's taxonomy places the organism in Eukaryota, Viridiplantae, Streptophyta, Magnoliopsida, Fagales, Betulaceae.